Molecule: ribosomal RNA, 1223 nt
Filed under: Tissierella sp. FSAA-15
Lineage: Bacteria; Bacillati; Bacillota; Tissierellia; Tissierellales; Tissierellaceae
Description: bacterial SSU rRNA
Rfam family: Bacterial small subunit ribosomal RNA
Source: RNAcentral
GAUGGGGGGUGCUUUUGAACCUGGCUCAGGACGAACGCUGUCGGCGUGCCUAACACAUGCAAGUCGAGCGAAGUGCUUACAACAGAUUCCUUCGGGAUGAAGAUGUAAGUAUCUUAGCGGCAAACGGGUGAGUAACGCGUGAGGAACCUGCCUUUCACAAAGGGAUAGCCUCGGGAAACUGGGAUUAAUACCUUAUGAUACUGAUAUAGCGCAUGCCAUAUCAGUCAAAGCGCAAAGCGGUGAAAGAUGGUCUCGCGUCCCAUUAGCUAGUUGGUAAGGUAACGGCUUACCAAGGCUGCGAUGGGUAACCGGCCUGAGAGGGUGAACGGUCACACUGGAACUGAGACACGGUCCAGACUCCUACGGGAGGCAGCAGUGGGGAAUAUUGCACAAUGGAGGAAACUCUGAUGCAGCGACGCCGCGUGAGUGAUGAAGGCUUUCGAGUCGUAAAACUCUGUCCUUGGGGACGAUAAUGACGGUACCCAAGGAGGAAGCCCCGGCUAACUACGUGCCAGCAGCCGCGGUAAUACGUAGGGGGCGAGCGUUGUCCGGAUUUAUUGGGCGUAAAGGGUUCGCAGGCGGCCAAAUAAGUCAGAUGUGAAAGCCCACGGCUUAACCGUGGUAAGCAUUUGAAACUGUAUGGCUUGAGUUAAGGAGAGGAAAGUGGAAUUCCUAGUGUAGCGGUGAAAUGCGUAGAUUUUGAAAUUCCGGUGGCGAACGCGACUUCUCUGGACUUAUACUGACGCUGAGGCACGAAAGCGUGGGGAGCAAACAGGAUUAGAUACCCUGGUAGUCCACGCCGUAAACGAUGAGCGCUAGGUGUCGGGUGUCAAAGCUCGGUGCCGCAGCUAACGCAUUAAGCGCUCCGCCUGGGGAGUACGUACGCAAGUAUGAAACUCAAAGGAAUUGACGGGGACCCGCACAAGCAGCGGAGCAUGUGGUUUAAUUCGAAGCAACGCGAAGAACCUUACCAGGACUUGACAUGCCCUUGACCGUUCUAGAGAUAGAACUUUAUCUUCGGAUACAAGGGACACAGGUGGUGCAUGGUUGUCGUCAGCUCGUGUCGUGAGAUGUUGGGUUAAGUCCCGCAACGAGCGCAACCCUUGUCUUUAGUUGCUAACAGUUAGGCUGAGCACUCUAGAGAGACUGCCGAUGAUAAAUCGGAGGAAGGUGGGGAUGACGUCAAAUCAUCAUGCCCUUUAUGUCCUGGGCUACACACGUGU